AUUGAACGCUGGCGGCAGGCCUAACACAUGCAAGUCGAGCGGAUGAAGGGAGCUUGCUCCUGGAUUCAGCGGCGGACGGGUGAGUAAUGCCUAGGAAUCUGCCUGGUAGUGGGGGAUAACGUCCGGAAACGGGCGCUAAUACCGCAUACGUCCUGAGGGAGAAAGUGGGGGAUCUUCGGACCUCACGCUAUCAGAUGAGCCUAGGUCGGAUUAGAUAGUUGGUGGGGUAAAGGCCUACCAAGGCGGCGAUCCGUAACUGGUCUGAGAGGCUGAUCAGUCACACUGGAACUGAGACACGGUCCAGACUCCUACGGGAGGCAGCAGUGGGGAAUAUUGGACAGUGGUCGAAAGCCUGAUCCAGCGAGGCCGCGUGUGUGAAGAAGGUCUUCGGAUUGUAAAGCACUUUAAGUUGGGAGGAAGGGCAGUAAGUUAAUACCUUGCUGUUUUGACGUUACCAGCAGAAUAAGCACCGGCUAACUUCGUG
RNAcentral lists this ribosomal RNA (484 nucleotides) under uncultured bacterium. RNAcentral describes it as "partial 16S ribosomal RNA". It matches the Rfam family "Bacterial small subunit ribosomal RNA", at positions 30 to 507 of the family's 1533-position model. The record is from RNAcentral.